CAGUAGCCGCGGUAAUACGAAGGGUGCAAGCGUUAAUCGGAAUUACUGGGCGUAAAGCGUGCGUAGGCGGUGAGUUAAGUCUGCUGUGAAAUCCCCGGGCUCAACCUGGGAAUGGCAGUGGAUACUGGGUCACUAGAGUGUGGUAGAGGAUAGUGGAAUUUCCGGUGUAGCGGUGAAAUGCGUAGAGAUCGGGAGGAACAUCAGUGGCGAAGGCGGCCAUCUGGGACAACACUGACGCUGAGGCACGAAAGCGUGGGGAGCAAACAGGAUUAGAUACCCCCGUAGUCCCUGUCUCUUAUAC
This 301-nucleotide ribosomal RNA is filed under the name uncultured bacterium. Its description in RNAcentral is "partial 16S ribosomal RNA". It matches the Rfam family "Bacterial small subunit ribosomal RNA", at positions 509 to 807 of the family's 1533-position model. The record is from RNAcentral.